CUUCCCCCUUCGAAGUUAGAGCUGCAGAACCAGCACGGUGUUUCCCCUCCCCAGCGUAGCACAACCAGCUGCAGCCUUUUAAAGUCUCCUAUCGUUUUGCUAGCACAAUGACUGCCUACGCAAAGGUUGGCAUCCAUGUCAAGAGAACAUUCUCCAGCUGGGGCCUGCAGUACAGAGAAUUGUAUACUCCAGAGGGCUCAUGGGACCGUAGGCAGAUUAUUAUGGUAAUAUUGGAGACUGCUGUCCUCUCCCUCCCACAGCUGGGCCGCCUCUCUCAUUGCUGCCAUAAUCCUUCGAGCAGGACGGAACAGUGCUGUGAAGAUGGAUGCUUCAAAAUGUCCUGUGAAGUGGUGGUGAAAGUACAUGCAGAGAAAUCACCCCAGCUGCUAAUAAAGCUUUUACUUCUUUCUUUGGA
Molecule: long non-coding RNA, 415 nt
Organism: Pogoniulus pusillus (Red-fronted tinkerbird)
Lineage: Eukaryota; Metazoa; Chordata; Aves; Piciformes; Lybiidae
Exons: 3
Source: RefSeq, a predicted model, not a curated record